RNAcentral lists this ribosomal RNA (501 nucleotides) under uncultured bacterium. Its description in RNAcentral is "partial 16S ribosomal RNA". It matches the Rfam family "Bacterial small subunit ribosomal RNA", at positions 29 to 523 of the family's 1533-position model. The record is from RNAcentral.
AUUGAACGCUGGCGGCAUGCCUUACACAUGCAAGUCGAACGGCAGCACGGGUGCUUGCACCUGGUGGCGAGUGGCGAACGGGUGAGUAAUACAUCGGAACGUACCUUAUCGUGGGGGAUAACGCAGCGAAAGCUGCGCUAAUACCGCAUCCGCCCUGAGGGGGAAGGCGGGGGAUCGGAAGACCUCGCGCGAUUAGAGCGGCCGAUGCGUGAUUAGCUUGUUGGUGGGGUAAAAGCCCACCAAGGCGACGAUCAGUAGCUGGUCUGAGAGGACGAUCAGCCACACUGGGACUGAGACACGGCCCAGACUCCUACGGGAGGCAGCAGUGGGGAAUUUUGGACAAUGGGGGCAACCCUGAUCCAGCAAUGCCGCGUGAGUGAAGAAGGCCUUCGGGUUGUAAAGCCCUUUUGUCAGGGAAGAAACACCGGCUCUAACACAGUCUGGGAAUGACGGUACCUGAAGAAUAAGCACCGGCUAACUACGUGCCAGCAGCCGCAGUAA